Molecule: ribosomal RNA, 492 nt
Filed under: uncultured bacterium
Lineage: Bacteria
Description: partial 16S ribosomal RNA
Rfam family: Bacterial small subunit ribosomal RNA
Source: RNAcentral
AGUGAACGCUGGCGGUAGGCCUAACACAUGCAAGUCGAACGGCAGCACAGUAAGAGCUUGCUCUUACGGGUGGCGAGUGGCGGACGGGUGAGGAAUACAUCGGAAUCUACUUUUUCGUGGGGGGUAACGUAGGGAAACUUACGCUAAUACCGCAUACGACCUACGGGUGAAAGCAGGGGAUCUUCGGACCUUGCGCGAUUGAAUGAGCCGAUGUCGGAUUAGCUAGUUGGCGGGGUAAAGGCCCACCAAGGCGACGAUCCGUAGCUGGUCUGAGAGGAUGAUCCGCCACACUGUAAGUGAGACAGGGUCCAGACUCCGACGGGAGGCAGCAGUGCGGAAUACUGGACAAUGGGGGCAAGCCUGAUCCUGCCAUACCGCGUGGGUGAAGAAGGACUUCUGGUUGGAAAGCGAUUUUGUUGGGAAAGUAAAGCAGCAGGUUAAUAUCCCGCUGUUCUGACGGUACCCAAAGAAUAAGCCCCGGCUAACUUCGUG